Long non-coding RNA from Solanum pennellii, 1114 nucleotides. RefSeq lists it as uncharacterized. NCBI's taxonomy places the organism in Eukaryota, Viridiplantae, Streptophyta, Magnoliopsida, Solanales, Solanaceae. The transcript is spliced from 2 exons. The record is from RefSeq and is a predicted model, not a curated record.
UUUCUUCAGCCCAACCCAAUCCUUCUAACCUGUCCCUAACCUUUCUCCCUUCUCUCAGAACAGGAAAACGCGUGCAACGCCAAAUUAGAGCUUCCUUCAGACGAGUGAACGUUGUGAGCGACGCUGCACACUCUCUUCAUCACGCGAGAUCGAAUCAACGGAAAAGCAGCAGCGGCACAAGAGAUAGUACUCAGCCCCCUUUUGUUUUCUUCUCCCCAUCGCUUUCAAGGGCAUACGAUUCCAACAGCAAACGAAUCACGCAAAACCGACCUCCUUAGCGCGAGGUCGCUCCAUGUCGGAGCAAGGACGUUUGGGAUUGAUCCCAAGCGUCCAUCUCCUUUCCAUUCGUAGCUUGGGGUCGAAAAUAUCAGAAAAGUUGUUGAUUCCAAAUUGGUGCAAGAAUUUGGAUUUUCAAAUUUUGGAAGGGAUCAAGGGUUGAUUCGACAUUUCUCAAGAAAUUGGGAACCCUAAUCUGUCCCUAUAUAUAUUCUCUUUUGCCAUUUGAAAGUGGGGGAUUUUUUUUCCUGAUUUUUGGGAGAAUAGGUUUUGGUUGGAUUUUCUUGAUAAGCAGAAGCAGAGAAGCGAAGUUGGAGAGAAACCUCUUAGCUUCACUUGUUUAUGAUUUUUGAGUAAGAAUACUAAAACAUUCAUACAAAUAGUAACAUAUAUAUACAAAGACACUUUCAAGACGGAAAGAAUCGGGUUCACAUUUGAUGUGUCUUUGAAUCCAUUUUCUGAACUCUAUCUUGAACUCUUGGUGGUGAAAUCGUUGUCGUGUCUCAGCUUGCCUUGUCCCAGACGCUGCUCGAAGAGAGUUCAUUUGGACUCCAUUCCUCCUCUUCACAUUCUUUAGUCUAGCCAUGAAGACUCAAACCUCGAUCAAAAAUAGACGUACAGGUUUCGGAGUUGGAAAGAUCCAAAAUCCAAGGAGUUGAAGGCUUGAGCUAAAAGCUCAAAUUUUACUAAGUCUUGUGUUUUGUUCUUUUGGGCCUAAGCCCUGGUCAUUUUUGUAUGUAUAAAUUUAAGGAAUCCCAUAGUGUAAUACAAUAAUUACAUUCUGUCCCGACAAAUUUAGUAUUUACUAAUAAUCCCUUAAAGUUGCUGUGGCGUGAUA